Molecule: ribosomal RNA, 395 nt
Filed under: uncultured bacterium
Lineage: Bacteria
Description: bacterial SSU rRNA
Rfam family: Bacterial small subunit ribosomal RNA
Source: RNAcentral
AUUGAACGCUGGCGGCAUGCUUUACACAUGCAAGUCGAACGGUAACAGGGAGCUUGCUCCGCUGACGAGUGGCGAACGGGUGAGUAAUGCGUCGGAACGUGCCGAGUAGUGGGGGGAUAACGCAUCGAAAGGUGUGCUAAUACCGCAUACGUACUGAGGUAGAAAGUGGGGGACCUUCGGGCCUCACGCUAUUCGAGCGGCCGACGUCUGAUUAGCUAGUUGGUGAGGUAAAGGCUCACCAAGGCGACGAUCAGUAGCGGGUCUGAGAGGGAUGAUCAGCCACACUGGGACUGAGACACGGCCCAGACUCCUACGGAGGCAGCAGUGGGGAAUAUUGGACAAUGGGCGCAAGCCUGAUCCAGCCAUGCCGCGUGAGUGAUGAAGGCCCUAGGGUU